CCUACGGGUGGCAGCAGUCGAGAAUCAUUCACAAUGGGGGAAACCCUGAUGGUGCGACGCCGCGUGGGGGAAUAAAGGUCUUCGGAUUGUAAACCCCUGUCAUGUGGGAGCAAAUUAAAAAGAUAGUACCACAAGAGGAAGAGACGGCUAACUCUGUGCCAGCAGCCGCGGUAAUACAGAGGUCUCAAGCGUUGUUCGGAGUCACUGGGCGUAACGCGUGCGUAGGCUGUUUCGUAAGUCGUGUGUGAAAGGCGCGGGCUCAACCCGCGGACGGCACAUGAUACUGCGAGACUAGAGUAAUGGAGGGGGAACUGGAAUUCUCGGUGUAGCAGUGAAAUGCGUAGAGAUCGAGAGGAACACUCGUGGCGAAGGCGGGUUCCUGGACAUUAACUGACGCUGAGGCACGAAGGCCAGGGGAGCGAAAGGGAUUAGAUACCCUGGUAGUC
This 446-nucleotide ribosomal RNA is filed under the name uncultured bacterium. RNAcentral describes it as "partial 16S ribosomal RNA". It matches the Rfam family "Bacterial small subunit ribosomal RNA", at positions 338 to 795 of the family's 1533-position model. The record is from RNAcentral.